GGAAUAAUAAUUUAAAUUUAAAAUAUUUAUUUUGCAUAUAAAAUAUAUAUAUAUAUUAUAUAUAUUUAUUUCA
RNAcentral lists this transfer RNA (73 nucleotides) under Paroligoneurus sp. M125. RNAcentral describes it as "tRNA-Ala". Lineage: Eukaryota; Metazoa; Arthropoda; Insecta; Hymenoptera; Braconidae. The record is from RNAcentral.